CCUGGUAGCUCAGCUGGUAAAGCAUCUGCCUGCAAUGCAGGAGACCCUGGUUUGAUUCCUGGGGCAGGA
Molecule: transfer RNA, 69 nt
Filed under: Bos taurus (domestic cattle)
Lineage: Eukaryota; Metazoa; Chordata; Mammalia; Artiodactyla; Bovidae
Also listed under: 4 other names
Rfam family: tRNA
About the family: Transfer RNA (tRNA) molecules are approximately 80 nucleotides in length. Their secondary structure includes four short double-helical elements and three loops (D, anti-codon, and T loops).
Source: Rfam by way of RNAcentral